Molecule: transfer RNA, 67 nt
Filed under: Corallianassa coutierei
Lineage: Eukaryota; Metazoa; Arthropoda; Malacostraca; Decapoda; Callianassidae
Description: tRNA-Val
Source: RNAcentral
AGUUUUUUAGUAUAAGAAGUAUUUUUGGUUUACAACCAAAAGGUCUGUGAAUACAACAGGAGGACUU